This 67-nucleotide ribosomal RNA is filed under the name Oleiphilus sp. HI0132. RNAcentral describes it as "partial 16S ribosomal RNA". Lineage: Bacteria; Pseudomonadati; Pseudomonadota; Gammaproteobacteria; Oceanospirillales; Oleiphilaceae. The record is from RNAcentral.
AGAUUGAACUGAAGAGUUUGAUCAUGGCUCAGAUUGAACGCUGGCGGCAGGCUUAACACAUGCAAGU